AGGGAUUUAGCUCAGGGGCACAGUACCUGCCUGGCAAGCAUGAGGUCCUGAGUUUGACUCCCAGUGUCCUCU
Molecule: transfer RNA, 72 nt
Filed under: Cavia porcellus (domestic guinea pig)
Lineage: Eukaryota; Metazoa; Chordata; Mammalia; Rodentia; Caviidae
Rfam family: tRNA
About the family: Transfer RNA (tRNA) molecules are approximately 80 nucleotides in length. Their secondary structure includes four short double-helical elements and three loops (D, anti-codon, and T loops).
Source: Rfam by way of RNAcentral